AAUGAACGCUGGCGGCAUGCCUAACACAUGCAAGUCGAGCGAACGGACGAAGAUUGUUCUUCGCUUCUGUGACCGACGGGCGGGUGAGUCACACGAAGAUGCCCUGCCUAUAAGGCUGACGUAACUUCAGGGGACCUUAUAUAAUAUCCGAUCAUAUUUUGAACGGGAUGGAUCAUAGGACAACGAGGUAUUUGCUGACCCUUAGACAGGUUACCGCGCUGCAUUAGCUAGUUGGUAAGGUAACGGCUUACCAAGGCAACGAUGCAUAGCCGAUCUGAGAGGGUGAUCGGCCACACUGGAACUGAGACACGGUCCAGACUCCUACGGGAGGCAGCAGUAGGGAAUAUUGCACAAUGGGCGAAAGCCUGACGGAGCAACGCCGCGUGUGUGAUGAAGGUCUUCGGAUCGUAAAACUCUGUUAUUAGGGAAGAACAGAAGUGUGAGAAAAUGUGCACAUCUUGACGGUACCUAAAGAGAAAGCACCGGCUAACUUCGUG
Molecule: ribosomal RNA, 497 nt
Filed under: uncultured bacterium
Lineage: Bacteria
Description: partial 16S ribosomal RNA
Rfam family: Bacterial small subunit ribosomal RNA
Source: RNAcentral